AUCUGCAUCGUCGUUCGUUUGGUGCAGUUGGGUUCGCUCGCGCGUGUGCCUCUUGCCUACCACGACGUCGGCAUCAACGUGCAGAUCCCUAGAUCGUGUCGAUGCAAAGAAAAAGGACUCGUCGUCGUUCGACCUAGAUCACGACGAAAAUCGCCACUAGCCGCAACAACCAUGAGGGGAGAAAUCUCGGAUGAAGCAGCCAUCAUUGGAAGAGGAGAACAGGGGGACUUAACCGCCGGGAUAUCAUCUCAUCUGAUGUCGUUUUCAUCUGCUGUAUCACCUGGCAUGGAAGGACAGAGGUUGCAUCCACAUGCUGAUGACAACGAUCCAGACCAUGGGGAGAAGAUAACAUUGCAGAAGAUGGGCAUGGAAGUAGAUGAUGUAUGCGGUAAUGGUUCCCAUGUUCAUGGCAAUGACGAUGCACAACAGUGUGUAGUAUAUGAAGAAAUGGAAUCUACAGCAUCAGAGGUGGAUGGUAAAGUUGUGCACAAUUUGAUUGUUCCUAAAGUAGGAAUGGCUUUGGAGUCAGAGAAAGAUGCAUAUGAGAUGUACAAUACCUAUACCAGAAAUAUUGGGUUUAGUAUUAGAAGGAGUCGGACAAAGCAACGUGUUGAUGGGACUAUAUAUCAAAAAUAUAUUGUUUGCAGUAACCAAGGACAACGAGAAACUAAGUCAUCAUUGGACACUACUAGGAUAGGUUGCAAUGCUCAAGUUCAGUUUAGUGUCUGUCGAGAGGGAAUUUGGACGGUGCAAAUAAGUCACAUAAGUAUUUGAACAAAACCAUUAUCUCGCUAGUCCAAAUAAGUCACAUAAGUUGAGAUCCCAACGACAUGUUAUAGAAGCAGAUAGGAUUCUAAUUGGCCAAAUAAGAGAAGCCGGAAUGAAGCCAGCCUAGGUGUUCCAGUUUAUGAAGGAGUGGUAUGGAGGAGCUGACAAAGUGCCAUUCUCAAAGAUGGAUUGUAAUAAUGAGAUUGGUCGUGAGCGCAAAAAGUACUUAGAAUCCAAUCCCACGCAAACACUACUGGAAUACUUGAAGAAUAAGCAGUUACAGGACCCUGCAUUUUCUUAUGCCAUUCAAAUAGAUAAGGAAUAUGGUCGGAUAGCUAACUUCUUUUGGGCAGAUGGUCAAUCUAUCAUGGAUUAUACAUGCUUCGGUGACGUUGUGUCAUUUGACACCACAUUUAACACCAAUAAGUUUGAGAUGUAUUUUGCUCCAAUUCUUGGAACCAACCAUCACAAGCAGACAAUUAUUUUUGGGGCUGCACUGUUAUUUAAUCAAACUAUUGAUUCAUUUGUUUGACUCUUUAAAACCUUUCUAACAGCAAUGUCAGGCAAGUAUUCAAGCACAAUUUUCACUGACCAAGACACGGCUAUGGCAGCGGCAAUUACUUUUGUAUUCCCAAAUACAAGCCAUUGUCUUUGUUUGUGGCACAUUUAUCUAAAUGGUGGUAAAAAUCUCGGUCAUGUAAUUCAUAAUCAUCCUAAGUUUCUAACUAAUUUUAAGAGAUGUGUCUAUGAAGAUAGAUCGGAGUAUUACUUCAAUAAGAUGUGGCAUGACUUGCUGAGUGAAUACAAACUUGAGGAGAAUGCAUGGAUGUCAAACUUAUUUCACUUGACGAAAAAGUGGGCUAUCGUCUUCCGUGACUCUUUUACGGCUGAUAUGACCUCAACUCAAAGAAGCGAAGGUAUAUUGUGUAAGCAUGUCCUUAGAGUCUUCAAUAUGAAUGAAGUUUUCACUUUGCCAUCUCAAUAUAUACUCAAUAGAUGGACAAAAUAUGCGAAAAGAGGAUUUUAUAUUGAGAAAAAAGUAAGUGAGAAGGAUACUUUGAAAGCACAAGCUGCACGUAUCACUCGACAUGCAUCAUCCAUUGCGCUAAAGUGUACAGUUUCUAAAUAACUUCUUGAUGAUUUGGAGAAAACUAUUAAAAAGUUGGACUUGGAAGCAGAUAGUUUUCUAAGUAAGAUGCAAGGAAAGCCAUUUGACGUUCCUCUAAACUCAAAUGAUUGUGUCAUAGACACAUUAAAUGGUGCAAUAUCGUUUACAGUUCCUCAGGUGGUAAAAGGUCCAAAAACUAGGCGAUCAAAAGAUCCAAUUGAAAUUAAAGGGAAGAGGAAGAGUGCUAAGAAGAAAGAUCCAAAUAAUACAUCUGAAAAUAGAAAUGAAGAUGAUGGUGGUGUCUAUGGGCAAAACUUGACCAUGGCUGCAAAUGAUGUGCAUGGCCAAUCUUCAACCAUGGUUGCAAAUCAUAUGUACCGGCAAUCUUCAACCAUGCCAACUCCUUUGAUCCAAGGCGAAUAUACUAGUCUUUUAUAUGGAGUACAAAAUGAUUUCAUAUUUUCCUGCCCUGCUAAAAAGCUACAUUUUGAUGAAUAGCACUUGAUGCAACCUGUGAGUAGGCUUUAUUUAGAUGGACUUUGGUGUAUCCAUGAAACUAUACUCUUUUACUGUGUUGCACUUUAUUUUAUUUUCCUUGGCAAUGUUACACUCAAUUUCCAUUGCUGCUGAUAGUUGUGGCCAUGGAUUUGGUACCUAUAAUGACCUAGAUUAUAUUUGUUGUUUAGAUCAACCCAUCCUGGGCUACAGAUUUUAUUGCAGAUAACACUGUAGUUCAGAUUUAACAUUUGGAAGGAAUAAGA
This is a long non-coding RNA of Oryza brachyantha (malo sina), 2637 nucleotides long. RefSeq lists it as uncharacterized. The transcript has 5 exons. NCBI's taxonomy places the organism in Eukaryota, Viridiplantae, Streptophyta, Magnoliopsida, Poales, Poaceae. The record is from RefSeq and is a predicted model, not a curated record.